RNAcentral lists this ribosomal RNA (179 nucleotides) under uncultured beta proteobacterium. RNAcentral's name for it is "partial 16S ribosomal RNA". It matches the Rfam family "Bacterial small subunit ribosomal RNA", at positions 355 to 526 of the family's 1533-position model. The record is from RNAcentral. Lineage: Bacteria; Pseudomonadati; Pseudomonadota; Betaproteobacteria.
UGGGGAAUUUUGGACAAUGGGCGAAAGCCUGAUCCAGCAAUGCCGCGUGCAGGAUGAAGGCCUUCGGGUUGUAAACUGCUUUUGUACGGAACGAAACGGUUCUCCUUAAUACGGGGGGCUAAUGACGGUACCGUAAGAAUAAGCACCGGCUAACUACGUGCCAGCAGCCGCGGUAAUAA